RNAcentral lists this transfer RNA (67 nucleotides) under Onchidella celtica (Celtic sea slug). RNAcentral's name for it is "tRNA-Glu". The record is from RNAcentral. Lineage: Eukaryota; Metazoa; Mollusca; Gastropoda; Systellommatophora; Onchidiidae.
GUUAAAGAAGUGUAAUCACGUUGCCUUUUCGAGGUAAAGAAGGACCCUUGGAGAGGUCCCUUUAAUA